RNAcentral lists this ribosomal RNA (479 nucleotides) under uncultured bacterium. RNAcentral's name for it is "bacterial SSU rRNA". It matches the Rfam family "Bacterial small subunit ribosomal RNA", at positions 27 to 518 of the family's 1533-position model. The record is from RNAcentral.
GGACGAACGCUGGCGGCGUGCCUAACACGAUGCAAGUCGAACGGAGUUGAGGAGCUUGCUCCUUAACUAAGUGGCGGACGGGUGAGUAACGCGUGAGUAACCUGCCUCUGAGAGGGGAAUAACGUUCUGAAAAGGACGCUAAUACCGCAUAACACAUAUUUGCCGCAUGACAGAUAUGUCAAAGAUUUUAUCGCUCGGAGAUGGACUCGCGUCCGAUUAGUCAGUUGGUGAGGUAACGGCUCACCAAGACCGCGAUCGGUAGCCGGACUGAGAGGUUGAUCGGCCACAUUGGGACUGAGACACGGCCCAGACUCCUACGGGAGGCAGCAGUGGGGGAUAUUGCGCAAUGGGGGCAACCCUGAACCGCAGCAACGCCGCGUGAAGGAUGAAGGUUUUCGGAUUGUAAACUUCUUUUCUCAGGGACGAAGAAUGACGGUACCUGAGGAAUAAGCUCCGGCUAACUACGUGCCAGCCGCAGC